UGCGGCUGGAUCCCCUCCUUUCUGGAAAAUGCUUGGUUCAUCACCGCAGCCUUCGGGUUGUGAGCAGAUGCCAAGACAUAAACAGUAGCUGAUUGAAUUCAAGCACCCACACUUAUCGGCUGUUGAUUGAGCAAGAAGAGUGAAGACAGUUGGGUCUGUAGCUCAGUCGGUUAGAGCACCGUCUUGAUAAGGCGGGGGUCGUUGGUUCGAAUCCAACCAGACCCACCAACUUACCCAAGAUAGCGAAACUGAUCGAUGAGAGAUCAGGCAAGCGAUUCUCAAACGGGGGAUUAGCUCAGCUGGGAGAGCACCUGCUUUGCAAGCAGGGGGUCGUCGGUUCGAUCCCGUCAUCCUCCACCACCUACUCUUUUUAGCAAGGUUUGAAAGCAAACCUUAAGGUCUGGCAGCGGCAAGCUGUUUGGAUAUUAAGGUUUGCAGUUGAACUGCAAAUGCUCUUUAACAAUUCGUAGAGUCGAAAUAAUCAGCAUUGCUGACGGAAAGUACUUCGAUGUACACCGUGCCGUCAGCAAUGAUCUUGAUUGCGUCAAAACAGACAUUCAUUGAAAGAUAUGAAUGAUCGGCAUAACGCGAAGUCACAUACUUAAACCGGUAUGUGACGCUCAAACAGUCCUUGACCGACGCCUUUAGCAUUGGGCGUCAAAGUUAUAGGGUCAAGUGACUAAGUGCAUGUGGUGGAUGCCUUGGCGACUACAGGCGAUGAAGGACGUGAUAGCCUGCGAAAAGCUUCGGGGAGCUGGCAAAUUAGCUUUGAUCCGGAGAUAU
This 783-nucleotide unclassified non-coding RNA is filed under the name uncultured bacterium. RNAcentral's name for it is "partial contains 16S ribosomal RNA, 16S-23S ribosomal RNA intergenic spacer, and 23S ribosomal RNA". The stretch from base 670 to 783 matches the Rfam family "Bacterial large subunit ribosomal RNA", at positions 1 to 113 of the family's 2925-position model. The record is from RNAcentral.